GUUACCAGCGUGAAAGACGGGGACGUCACAGGAGACUGCCGCCGACAAGGCGGAGGAAGCGGGGAUGACGUCAAGUCAUCAUGCCCCUUAUGUCCUGGGCUACACACGUACUACAAUGGGUGCGAACAGAGGGCAGCAAUCCCGCGAGGGGGAGCCAAUCCCACAAAAGCACUCUCAGUUCGGAUCGCAGGCUGCAACCCGCCUGCGUGAAGUCGGAAUCGCUAGUAAUCGCAGAUCAGCAGGCUGCGGUGAAUACGUUCCCGGGCCUU
This 269-nucleotide ribosomal RNA is filed under the name uncultured Thermosinus sp. RNAcentral describes it as "partial 16S ribosomal RNA". It matches the Rfam family "Bacterial small subunit ribosomal RNA", at positions 1114 to 1382 of the family's 1533-position model. The record is from RNAcentral. Lineage: Bacteria; Bacillati; Bacillota; Negativicutes; Selenomonadales; Sporomusaceae.